AUUGAACGCUGGCGGCAGGCCUAACACAUGCAAGUCGAGCGGUAGCACAGAGAGCUUGCUCUCGGGUGACGAGCGGCGGACGGGUGAGUAAUGUCUGGGAAACUGCCUGAUGGAGGGGGAUAACUACGGAAACGGUAGCUAAUACCGCAUAAUGUCGCAAGACCAAAGUGGGGGACCUUCGGGCCUCAUGCCAUCAGAUGUGCCCAGAUGGGAUUAGCUAGUAGGUGGGGUAACGGCUCACCUAGGCGACGAUCCCUAGCUGGUCUGAGAGGAUGACCAGCCACACUGGAACUGAGACACGGUCCAGACUCCUACGGGAGGCAGCAGUGGGGAAUAUUGCACAAUGGGCGCAAGCCUGAUGCAGCCAUGCCGCGUGUGUGAAGAAGGCCUUCGGGUUGUAAAGCACUUUCAGCGGGGAGGAAGGCGUUAAGGUUAAUAACCUUGUCGAUUGACGUUACCCGCAGAAGAAGCACCGGCUAACUCCGUGCCAGCCGCCGCUGUAA
This 503-nucleotide ribosomal RNA is filed under the name uncultured bacterium. RNAcentral's name for it is "partial 16S ribosomal RNA". It matches the Rfam family "Bacterial small subunit ribosomal RNA", at positions 30 to 523 of the family's 1533-position model. The record is from RNAcentral.